GUCCACGCCGUAAACGAUGAGUACUAGGUGUAGGGGGUAUCGACCCCCUCUGUGCCGAAGCUAACGCGAUAAGUACUCCGCCUGGGGACUACGGCCGCAAGGCUAAAACUCAAAGGAAUUGACGGGGGCCCGCACAAGCAGCGGAGCGUGUGGUUUAAUUCGAUGAUACGCGAAGAACCUCACCCAGGCUUGACAUGUAUGUGGUACAGAGGUGAAAGCCGACGGACCCUUCGGGGAGCAUACACAGGUGUUGCACGGCCGUCGU
RNAcentral lists this ribosomal RNA (265 nucleotides) under uncultured bacterium. RNAcentral describes it as "partial 16S ribosomal RNA". It matches the Rfam family "Bacterial small subunit ribosomal RNA", at positions 793 to 1055 of the family's 1533-position model. The record is from RNAcentral.